CGGCGGGCUAUACAUGCAAGUCGAGCGGACAGAAGGGAGCUUGCUCCCGGAUGUUAGCGGCGGACGGGUGAGUAACACGUGGGUAACCUGCCUGUAAGACUGGGAUAACUCCGGGAAACCGGAGCUAAUACCGGAUAGUUCCUUGAACCGCAUGGUUCAAGGAUGAAAGACGGUUUCGGCUGUCACUUACAGAUGGACCCGCGGCGCAUUAGCUAGUUGGUGGGGUAAUGGCUCACCAAGGCGACGAUGCGUAGCCGACCUGAGAGGGUGAUCGGCCACACUGGGACUGAGACACGGCCCAGACUCCUACGGGAGGCAGCAGUAGGGAAUCUUCCGAAUGGACGAAAGUCUGACGGAGCAACGCCGCGUGAGUGAUGAAGGUUUUCGGAUCGUAAAGCUCUGUUGUUAGGGAAGAACAAGUGCGAGAGUAACUGCUCGCACCUUGACGGUACCUAACCAGAAAGCCACGGCUAACUACGUGCCAGCAGCCGCGGUAAUACGUAGGUGGCAAGCGUUGUCCGGAAUUAUUGGGCGUAAAGGGCUCGCAGGCGGUUUCUUAAGUCUGAUGUGAAAGCCCCCGGCUCAACCGGGGAGGGUCAUUGGAAACUGGGAAACUUGAGUGCAGAAGAGGAGAGUGGAAUUCCACGUGUAGCGGUGAAAUGCGUAGAGAUGUGGAGGAACACCAGUGGCGAAGGCGACUCUCUGGUCUGUAACUGACGCUGAGGAGCGAAAGCGUGGGGAGCGAACAGGAUUAGAUACCCUGGUAGUCCACGCCGUAAACGAUGAGUGCUAAGUGUUAGGGGGUUUCCGCCCCUUAGUGCUGCAGCUAACGCAUUAAGCACUCCGCCUGGGGAGUACGGUCGCAAGACUGAAACUCAAGGAAUUGACGGGGGCCCGCACAAGCGGUGGAGCAUGGUGGUUUAAUUCGAAGCAACGCGARAACCUUACCAGGUCUUGACAUCCUCUGACACCCUAGAGAUAGGGCUUUCCUUCGGGGAAGAGGACAGGUGGUGCAUGGUGUCGUCAGCUCGUGUCGUGGAUGUGGCUAGUUCCCGCACGGGCACCUUGAACUAGUGCAGCAUUCAGUGGCAUCUAGUGACUGCCGUGACUCUGAGAAGGGGGGAAUGGACGUCAAUCAUUCAGUG
RNAcentral lists this ribosomal RNA (1145 nucleotides) under Bacillus safensis. RNAcentral describes it as "bacterial SSU rRNA". It matches the Rfam family "Bacterial small subunit ribosomal RNA", at positions 40 to 1197 of the family's 1533-position model. Lineage: Bacteria; Bacillati; Bacillota; Bacilli; Caryophanales; Bacillaceae. The record is from RNAcentral.